This 414-nucleotide unclassified non-coding RNA is filed under the name Hevea brasiliensis (rubber tree). Lineage: Eukaryota; Viridiplantae; Streptophyta; Magnoliopsida; Malpighiales; Euphorbiaceae. The record is from RNAcentral.
UUCAAUUCUGUCUUUAAUCAGGUUAAUACAUCUCCUUCCUUUUCUCAAUUUCCUUAUUAAUUUCUGCAUCUAUGCAUAGAGUUUCUUUUAACUUGCUCUGCAUACCUUUAGGCUUCAGCAGAAGGCUAGUUUGGUUGUUCAUUUGGAUUCCAAAAAGGAAUAUGAUCUUAGAGUAAAAGCUGCUUUUCUAUAAUAAUUUUGUCUUCCUUUUGCUCUUUGCUAUGUAGGCUCUGCAAAUUAACAAUAGGGUUUAUGUUGAAAUCUCAAGAAAGCUUAAUUUUGCUGUCAUUUAUCUGAAAUUGUUGUGCUUAUUUUCUCUGAGUUUCAUUUGCAUAAUGUUUCUGAUGUGGAACCAAUAGAACAAAACAAAGGGAAAAUAACAAAGCUCUGAAACUUUGUUUAGUUCUCAAUUAU